Molecule: ribosomal RNA, 463 nt
Filed under: uncultured bacterium
Lineage: Bacteria
Description: partial 16S ribosomal RNA
Rfam family: Bacterial small subunit ribosomal RNA
Source: RNAcentral
GAUGAACGCUGACAGAAUGCUUAACACAUGCAAGUCUUUGGCGAAGCUGUGCUUGCACAGCCUAGCCAAGGCGGACGGGUGAGUAACGCGUAAGGAACUUGCCCUGCAGUCAGGGAUAACAGACGGAAACGACUGAUAAGACCUGGUAAAGUCAGGCGGACUCAUGUCCAGCCUGAUGAAAAGAGAUGCUGCAGGAGAGCCUUGCGUCCUAUUAGCUUGUUGGUGGGGUAACGGCCCACCAAGGCGAUGAUAGGUAGCCGGCCUGAGAGGGUGGACGGCCAAAAGGGGGCCUGGGUUCCGGCCUUUCCCCCACCGGGGGCAGGCGGUGGGAAUAUUUGACCAAGGGGGCAACCCUGAUCCAGCAAUUCUGUGUGCACGAUGAAGGUUUUCGGAUUGUAAAGUGCUUUCAGCAGGGAAGAAAAAAAUGACGGUACCUGCAGAAGAAGCGACGGCUAAAUACGUG